Molecule: unclassified non-coding RNA, 431 nt
Filed under: plant metagenome
Description: partial contains 5.8S ribosomal RNA, internal transcribed spacer 2, and large subunit ribosomal RNA
Rfam family: 5.8S ribosomal RNA (bases 1-102)
Source: RNAcentral
AAACUGCGAUAAGUAGUGUGAAUUGCAUUUAGUGAAUCAUCGAAUCUUUGAAUGCACCCUGCACUCACUGGUAUUCCGGUGAGUACGCCUGUUUCAGUAUCAUUGAAAACACACAAUCAAAACAUUUUCUUUGGUUUGAUUGGCUUUGGGUCUAUCAAAAAGUUUGGCUUGUUUCUUACAAGCCAAGCGGCCUGAAAUAUAUUGUCUGGCUAAUUGCAUCGUUGAUGAUCGCUAUUAGACUUUGGCUUUUUUAAAUGAACUGGAGGUUGAUUAACCAGUUUUAGCUUUAGUCAAAUGGUCAUUGUAAAAAAAAUCUCGAUCUUGGCUAGGUGUUUAUAGCCGAAAAUUUUUUUUUGGCUAUAACCGAAACCAAUAUAAUCACAUUUAGUUAUCGAUCUGAAAUCAGGUGGGACUACCCGCUGAACUUAAGC